ACAGCCACAUCACAUUGAAACACCAGUUCCUGUCUGACUACCGAAGUUAAACAACAUCGGGCAUGGUCAGUAUCUAGAUGGGUGACUGGUUGGGAAUACCAGGUGCAGUAA
This is a non-coding RNA of Acanthosepion pharaonis, 111 nucleotides long. The record is from the annotation of a GenBank genome assembly. NCBI's taxonomy places the organism in Eukaryota, Metazoa, Mollusca, Cephalopoda, Sepiida, Sepiidae.